Molecule: ribosomal RNA, 432 nt
Filed under: uncultured bacterium
Lineage: Bacteria
Description: partial 16S ribosomal RNA
Rfam family: Bacterial small subunit ribosomal RNA
Source: RNAcentral
CCUACGGGUGGCAGCAGUCGAGAAUUUUUCUCAAUGGGGGAAACCCUGAAGGAGCGACGCCGCGUGGAGGAUGAAGGUCUUCGGAUUGUAAACUCCUGUCAUUUGGGAACUAGUACCAGAAGAGGAAGAGACGGCUAACUCUGUGCCAGCAGCCGCGGUAAUACAGAGGUCUCAAGCGUUGUUCGGAUUCAUUGGGCGUAAAGGGUGCGUAGGUGGCGGGGUAAGUCAGGUGUGAAAUCUCGGGGCUCAACCCCGAAACUGCACUUGAUACUGCCUUGCUCGAGUACUGGAGAGGAGAUUGGAAUUUACGGUGUAGCAGUGAAAUGCGUAGAUAUCGUAAGGAAGACCAGUGGCGAAGGCGAAUCUCUGGACAGUACUGACACUGAGGCACGAAGGCCAGGGGAGCAAACGGGAUUAGAUACCCUUGUAGUC